RNAcentral lists this non-coding RNA (335 nucleotides) under Funneliformis mosseae. RNAcentral describes it as "SSU rRNA". It matches the Rfam family "Eukaryotic small subunit ribosomal RNA", at positions 548 to 886 of the family's 1831-position model. RNAcentral also lists the same sequence under 1 other name. Lineage: Eukaryota; Fungi; Glomeromycota; Glomeromycetes; Glomerales; Glomeraceae. The record is from RNAcentral.
UUGGAGGGCAAGUCUGGUGCCAGCAGCCGCGGUAAUUCCAGCUCCAAUAGCGUAUAUUAAAGUUGUUGCAGUUAAAAAGCUCGUAGUUGAAUUUCGGGAUCAAUAUUUCGGUCAUGCCGUUGGUAUGCACUGUUAUCAUUGAUUUCUCACCUUCUAAAGAACCGUAAUGCCAUUAAUUUGGUGUUACGGGGAAUUAGGACUGUUACCUUGAAAAAAUUAGAGUGUUUAAAGCAGGCUCACGCUUGAAUACAUUAGCAUGGAAUAAUGAAAUAGGACAUCCGAUUCUAUUUUGUUGGUUUCUAGGAUCGAUGUAAUGAUUAAUAGGGAUAGUUGGG